Macaca mulatta (Rhesus monkey) is the source of this 588-nucleotide non-coding RNA. The record is from RefSeq and is a predicted model, not a curated record. NCBI's taxonomy places the organism in Eukaryota, Metazoa, Chordata, Mammalia, Primates, Cercopithecidae.
UUUUAGUUCUGGAACAAUUUCCAUUGAUUGCUUUUUUUUUCAUUACAGGCCAUAUUUUUCUGCUUCUUUAAAUGCCUGGCAGUCUUUGACUGGAUGCCACAAUCUUCUAGGAAAUGUACUGACAGUACUCUCCUGACCACUCAAGGAAGACCCUCUGCAGACCUCUGGAGUUCCUUCUGCUAUUCUGUCCCUUCUAGUCCUCUGGCUGCCCCGUCUCUGGCUUUUUAGCCAGAGAGAAUCUCUUAACCCCCCAGGCCUCGCUGGGCAACCCACACACAGACAUAGAUGGGAAGGUCAGUUGUGCAGAUCUCCAACUGCAAACAUCAAGACACCUCCGUACACAUGCUGAGGGUCUGGAAAGAGCACACAUCUCAGGGCCUGCAUGAACAGAGUGACCUUCCUGAAAGACAAUGGCCUCAGUGACCUCACUUCUGAUGCCUGGUUGCUGGAGUUCAGUGGAAGCAACAGCAGACACACUGCCCACAUGAACAUGUGGUUUCCAAGCCAGACAGAACUUGCAGCCUCAGUGCCAACCAGGUCCAGAUGUUACACCUUCCCACAGUCGGAAUGAAAUUGGCCUGACUCGGA